This 460-nucleotide ribosomal RNA is filed under the name uncultured bacterium. RNAcentral describes it as "partial 16S ribosomal RNA". It matches the Rfam family "Bacterial small subunit ribosomal RNA", at positions 338 to 795 of the family's 1533-position model. The record is from RNAcentral.
CCUACGGGUGGCAGCAGUGGGGAAUAUUGGACAAUGGGGGGAACCCUGAUCCAGCGACGCCGCGUGAGGGAAGACUGCCCUAUGGGUUGUAAACCUCUUUUGUCAGGGAGCAACGCCGGCUACAUGUAGCCGGACUGAGAGUACCUGAAGAAAAAGCAUCGGCUAACUCCGUGCCAGCAGCCGCGGUAAUACGGAGGAUGCGAGCGUUAUCCGGAUUUAUUGGGUUUAAAGGGUGCGUAGGCGGAAUGCCAAGUCAGCGGUAAAAUCGCGGGGCUCAACCUCGCUCCGCCGUUGAAACUGGCGUUCUUGAGUGGGCGAGAAGUAUGCGGAAUGCGUGGUGUAGCGGUGAAAUGCAUAGAUAUCACGCAGAACUCCGAUUGCGAAGGCAGCAUACCGGCGCCCAACUGACGCUGAAGCACGAAAGCGUGGGUAUCGAACAGGAUUAGAUACCCUAGUAGUC